AUCAUCAAAUGAUGAAGUAUUAAAAUAUCUUAGGACACCAUUGGACACGGCCUUUUGAGGUUGUGGAUGAGAAUGAUUGUAUUCUGAUGAUGAU
Molecule: small nucleolar RNA, 94 nt
Organism: Cornus florida
Lineage: Eukaryota; Viridiplantae; Streptophyta; Magnoliopsida; Cornales; Cornaceae
Product: small nucleolar RNA snoR31/Z110/Z27
Exons: 1
Source: RefSeq, a predicted model, not a curated record